UGAGCCAGUACAGGAUGGACCCGCGUCUGAUUAGCUAGUUGGUAAGGUAACGGCUUACCAAGGCGACGAUCAGUAGCCGACCUGAGAGGGUGAUCGGCCACAUUGGAACUGAGACACGGUCCAAACUCCUACGGGAGGCAGCAGUGGGGAAUAUUGCACAAUGGGCGAAAGCCUGAUGCAGCAACGCCGCGUGAGUGAUGAAGGCCUUCGGGUCGUAAAACUCUGUCCUCAAGGAAGAUAAUGACGGUACUUGAGGAGGAAGCCCCGGCUAACUACGUGCCAGCAGCCGCGGUAAUACGUAGGGGGCUAGCGUUAUCCGGAUUUACUGGGCGUAAAGGGUGCGUAGGCGGUCUUUCAAGUCAGGAGUGAAAGGCUACGGCUCAACCGUAGUAAGCUCUUGAAACUGGGAGACUUGAGUGCAGGAGAGGAGAGUGGAAUUCCUAGUGUAGCGGUGAAAUGCGUAGAUAUUAGGAGGAACACCAGUUGCGAAGGCGGCUCUCUGGACUGUAACUGACGCUGAGGCACGAAAGCGUGGGGAGCAAACAGGAUUAGAUACCCUGGUAGUCCACGCUGUAAACGAUGAGUACUAGGUGUCGGGGGUUACCCCCUUCG
RNAcentral lists this ribosomal RNA (612 nucleotides) under uncultured bacterium. Its description in RNAcentral is "bacterial SSU rRNA". It matches the Rfam family "Bacterial small subunit ribosomal RNA", at positions 211 to 842 of the family's 1533-position model. The record is from RNAcentral.